This 72-nucleotide transfer RNA is filed under the name Heterocephalus glaber (naked mole-rat). It matches the Rfam family "tRNA". From Rfam's summary of the family: Transfer RNA (tRNA) molecules are approximately 80 nucleotides in length. Their secondary structure includes four short double-helical elements and three loops (D, anti-codon, and T loops). Further hydrogen bonds mediate the characteristic L-shaped molecular structure. tRNAs have two regions of fundamental functional importance: the anti-codon, which is responsible for specific mRNA codon recognition, and the 3' end, to which the tRNAs corresponding amino acid is attached (by aminoacyl-tRNA synthetases). tRNAs cope with the degeneracy of the genetic code in two manners: having more than one tRNA (with a specific anti-codon) for a particular amino acid; and 'wobble' base-pairing, i.e. permitting non-standard base-pairing at the 3rd anti-codon position. The record is from Rfam by way of RNAcentral. Lineage: Eukaryota; Metazoa; Chordata; Mammalia; Rodentia; Bathyergidae.
GGGUGUGUAGCUCAGUAGUAGAGCACUUGCCUAGGAUGCAUGAGGCCCUGGGUUCCAUCUCCAGCAUUACCU